RNAcentral lists this ribosomal RNA (253 nucleotides) under uncultured bacterium. RNAcentral describes it as "partial 16S ribosomal RNA". It matches the Rfam family "Bacterial small subunit ribosomal RNA", at positions 524 to 776 of the family's 1533-position model. The record is from RNAcentral.
UACGUAGGUGGCGAGCGUUGUCCGGAUUUAUUGGGCGUAAAGAGCGUGUAGGCGGCCAGGUAGGUCCGUUGUGAAAACUCGAGGCUCAACCUCGAGACGUCGGCGGAAACCCUCUGGCUAGAGUCCGGAAGAGGAGAGUGGAAUUCCUGGUGUAGCGGUGAAAUGCGCAGAUAUCAGGAAGAACACCCGUGGCGAAGGCGGCUCUCUGGGACGGUACUGACGCUGAGACGCGAAAGCGUGGGGAGCAAACAGG